AGAACGAACGCUGGCGGCAUGCCUAACACAUGCAAGUCGAACGCUUCCGGGGCUUCGGUCGCGGAGGAGUGGCGCACGGGUGAGUAGCGCGUGGGAACCUGCCCUGUUGUGGGGGAUAACCGAGGGAAACUUCGGCUAAUACCGCAUACGCCCCGGGACUUGGUCUUCGGAUUAGGUCUGGGGGGAAAGAUUGAUCGCAGCAGGAGGGGCCCGCGUCGGAUUAGCUGGUUGGUGGGGUAACGGCUCACCAAGGCGAUGAUCCGUAGCUGGUCUGAGAGGAUGAUCAGCCACACUGGGACUGAGACACGGCCCAGACUCCUACGGGAGGCAGCAGUGGGGAAUAUUGGACAAUGGGGGCAACCCUGAUCCAGCAAUGCCGCGUGAGUGAUGAAGGCCUUAGGGUUGUAAAGCUCUUUCGCCCGCGACGAUGAUGACGGUAGCGGGAGAAGAAGCCCCGGCUAACUUCGUGCCAGCAGCCGCGGU
RNAcentral lists this ribosomal RNA (483 nucleotides) under uncultured bacterium. RNAcentral's name for it is "SSU rRNA". It matches the Rfam family "Bacterial small subunit ribosomal RNA", at positions 26 to 521 of the family's 1533-position model. The record is from RNAcentral.